RNAcentral lists this small nuclear RNA (102 nucleotides) under Otolemur garnettii (small-eared galago). Lineage: Eukaryota; Metazoa; Chordata; Mammalia; Primates; Galagidae. The record is from RNAcentral.
GUGCUGUCUUCAGUAGCAGAUAUACUAAAAUUGGAAUGAUACAGAGAUUAGCAUGGCCCCUGCACAAGGAUGACACAAAUUCGUGAAGCGUUCCAUAUUUUU